RNAcentral lists this ribosomal RNA (439 nucleotides) under uncultured soil bacterium. RNAcentral's name for it is "bacterial SSU rRNA". It matches the Rfam family "Bacterial small subunit ribosomal RNA", at positions 26 to 518 of the family's 1533-position model. The record is from RNAcentral.
AGAACGAACGCUGGCGGCAUGCCUAACACAUGCAAGUCGAACGAGACCUUCGGGUCUAGUGGCGCACGGGUGCGUAACGCGUGGGAAUCUGCCCUUCGGUUCGGAAUAACUCAGGGAAACUUGAGCUAAUACCGGAUAAUGACUUCGGUCCAAAGAUUCAUCGCCGAGGGAUGAGCCCGCGUAGGAUUAGCUUGUUGGUGAGGUAAAGGCUCACCAAGGCGACGAUCCUUAGCUGGUCUGAGAGGAUGAUCAGCCACACUGGGACUGAGACACGGCCCAGACUCCUACGGGAGGCAGCAGUGGGGAAUAUUGGACAAUGGGCGAAAGCCUGAUCCAGCAAUGCCGCGUGAGUGAUGAAGGCCUUAGGUUGUAAGCUCUUUACCGGAUGAUAAUGACAGUACCGGAGAAGUAAGCCCGCUAACUCCGUGCCAGCAGCCGC